UCUCCAUCGCAAGUUUUGAAUAAAACCCCCCUUCUUCCAGCCUCCACUUUCUUUUCUUUUACUGCCACUCCUCAGCCACCGCCUGCCUGAAAAUCGUCCGGCCUCUCCUUCACGCGCGCCCUUCGCCGAACGGUCUAGUCAGCAGUCAAGCCUCCAGCCGGUCAGACCUGCGUCCUGCCGCUCCGUCCGCCAAGGGCCGAAGCCGAACGACAACCCAACCCAGCCAUCGCGCCUUCGCCGCCGGUUCGCUCCUCCAACCGUCUGCCCGUGCCGUUCUUCGAUUGGGCCAACGACCUUCUUCAUCUAAGGCACUGCCCAGCCCCUGCUGCCUUCGAUCGCUGCUGGUUCUGUGAUUGGAUAAGUUGUUUAACGUAUCGGUUAAUUGUAGGGUCAUCUACUUGAUUUUUGGUUGGAUGCUAGGAUUAGAGUUUGAAAGAAAUUUCGUGCGCUGUCCAGCAAUUGUUGAAGUUUCUUUUGCAGAGAUUUUUGAUUGAAACUUUUGCUUGGGAGUGGUGGAACUACCUUUGGAACCAAGCCACAUUUUUUUGGGUUGAUUCAAGCCUUCCAAAGGCUGUGAGAAGAUUAGUUGUGUGGAUUAGAAUUUGCGACCAAUUUUUGAGGAUUCACCAGUUUUGUGGGCAUACUUAACUACAAUAGGAUAGGACUCAGUCUCUUGUCUGUUCAUGUGCAUAUGUGUCAUAGGUGGGGUAUCUAGAAGACAUAGAUGCCUAGUCUGAUCCUAGUGGUAGGGUUACUUACUGAUGCACCGGCGAUGACGAAUCGUGCCACUGGGACUAGUUUUUACACUUCCGUACCUUGAAAUUUGAGGCCUUAUUUUCCUCUUAAUAUUUAGUUUUACGGUUAAAAAUUUAUUUCUAAAGAUUAUUUCUUUUGUAUACUUUUGUUGAUCUUUAAAAAUUUUAGGUACCCUAUUAUUUGUUUUAACAAUUGCAUUUAAUAAAUGUCUUUUGAACUUCUCUUGUUUUAACAUUUAUUUCAAAUAACUGAACGUCGUUUUAAAUUCUUUGCAUGCAUUUAUUUUAGUAACAGCCUUACCUAAGUCCUAGGGGUAAAAUCCCAGCUCCCAUUCUUUCCCAUACUUUCUUCAACUCCUUAGAAAAAAUGGGUUUGCUCUUGUUCUCCAAGUCAAAGAAACAGGUUCUGGUGCACUCUGUUUGUUCCAGUAAAAACCAAAGCAUAGUAAGGCCCAACAAAUGUUGACUCAAAAUAUAAUUAUUGCAAGAUUUGGCUACAUAAAUACAUACCCAUGCAAACUGAAGCUUCCCUCUCAAUCCUAGCAUUAUAGAAUCCAAAGCAUUGCUUAAGUACCAUCUGCACUCAUUUGUAUAGUACAUAAAAUACUUAAAUAAAUUAAAUGAUUACAUUGUUUAAUUAGUUAUUGCUAAUGGGUUUGAUUUAGUUUGAGACUAACUCUUUUGCUGAAGACCGUAUUCCAACUUCAAACCUCUCCAAGCAGAACCUCAUAAACUCCUCACAGAAUGGCCUCUUGUAAACUAGCAUAGAGAUAUGGACAAGUAAAUUAGAAAAAGAGAUUUGUUGAGUAUGGAAAAUCUUUAGUAACCAUUGUAAACACUACUUUUAUCUAUUAAUUUCUAUGCUAAGUCAUCUACUUCCUUUUUAUAUAAUUUUUUUCAAAAGAUAUAAAGUUUGAAAAAAGGAAAUAAAACUAAAAACAAAAUGGUUAAAAA
Molecule: long non-coding RNA, 1709 nt
Organism: Benincasa hispida (wax gourd)
Lineage: Eukaryota; Viridiplantae; Streptophyta; Magnoliopsida; Cucurbitales; Cucurbitaceae
Source: RefSeq, a predicted model, not a curated record